RNAcentral lists this long non-coding RNA (858 nucleotides) under Anas platyrhynchos platyrhynchos (common mallard). Its description in RNAcentral is "lncRNA (ENSAPLG00000019352.1)". The record is from RNAcentral. Lineage: Eukaryota; Metazoa; Chordata; Aves; Anseriformes; Anatidae.
GGAGCCAGAGAGAGAGGAAAUUCUUAAUUCACAUAUGUGUUUUUAGCUGAGAGUGUUCCUGAGAUGCUUUUAUUUGAUUUGCUCAUGGAACAAACAAACAAACAAACAAAACCACACAUUUUUGGAUGAAACCAUUCUAUUACGUUUUUACAUGUAUUCCUAUGAAUGAAUGGUUCUUAAUCUAUCAACAAACUUUACCAAAACCAGCAAGAUUUGACUUUACCAAAAACAGCAAGAUUACUUGUAUGGGUUAUGAAAAAUAAAGUUUUACAAGGCAACUUCAAUGUACAAUUUGUUUCUUAAUGUGUGUUGUCUUAUAUCAAAAAAACAAGGACCUUAUGUAAAACUUAUUUUAGGCACUAGCUUGAUGAGUGUAAGGGGGAUGAUUUCAGAAGACUAAGGAAGAGAGACAGAAGCGUAUUGACUGAUUCAACAUGCUGCUUAGCAACUACUGAAUUUGACUUUUGGAACUUGCUCAAAAUAAGACUCUUCAGCAUUCUUGAACCAUGGCCAGACCUGUUGGAAACUUCUGCUUAUCAGGCUAGAGCAUCCACCAAGGGAAUCUUCUCUUCUGAUAGCUUUCUGUUUGCUAAUUAUUCACGGGAAAGUGAGGUGUUGUGGUGUCUUUGCCCAUGCUGUCUGUCCAGAAUAUGGCCAACCAGUCAUUUGGAUAAUAAUCUUUGAUAGAGGUUAUGUGACUGAGGAAAGUAACUGGUUUUAAAAGUUUCAGUGUGCUUAUUGUCAGUCCAUCCACUAAACUGGAUUGCAAUUUUUCUACUGCCUGAAUUGAGAACACAGAUAAACCAGUAACUGUGUAUCCAACAAUAUCCUCUGCCACAGUUUGUCAUGUGCCUCCUU